Molecule: ribosomal RNA, 848 nt
Filed under: Stenopelmatus sp. 'small black 2'
Lineage: Eukaryota; Metazoa; Arthropoda; Insecta; Orthoptera; Stenopelmatidae
Description: SSU rRNA
Rfam family: Eukaryotic small subunit ribosomal RNA
Source: RNAcentral
GAUACGGGACUCAUCCGAGGCCCCGUAAUCGGAAUGAGCACACUUUAAAUCCUUUAACGAGUAUCCAUUGGAGGGCAAGUCUGGUGCCAGCAGCCGCGGUAAUUCCAGCUCCAAUAGCGUAUAUUAAAGUUGUUGCGGUUAAAAAGCUCGUAGUUGGACUUGUGUCCCACGCUGUCGGUUCACCGCCCGUCGGUGUCUAACUGGCAUGGUUCGUGGGACGUCCUGCCGGUGGUGGCGAGUCGAAGGAGCGCGCCCGUCGUGGUUCACGCCGCGAUCGAGGUUGCGGUCCCGAGACGGACCCCGAUGAAAUCCUACCGCGGUGCUCUUCACCGAGUGUCGAGGUGGGCCGGCACGUUUACUUUGAACAAAUUAGAGUGCUUAAAGCAGGCCUGUUGCGCCUGAAUACUGUGUGCAUGGAAUAAUGGAAUAGGACCUCGGUUCUAUUUUGUUGGUUUUCGGAACCCGAGGUAAUGAUUAAUAGGGACAGUCGGGGGCAUUCGUAUUGCGACGUUAGAGGUGAAAUUCUUGGAUCGUCGCAAGACGGACCGAAGCGAAAGCAUUUGCCAAGUAUGUUUUCAUUAAUCAAGAACGAAAGUUAGAGGUUCGAAGGCGAUCAGAUACCGCCCUAGUUCUAACCAUAAACGAUGCCAGCUAGCGAUCCGCCGAAGUUCCUCCGAUGACUCGGCGGGCAGCUCCCGGGAAACCAAAGCUUUUGGGUUCCGGGGGAAGUAUGGUUGCAAAGCUGAAACUUAAAGGAAUUGACGGAAGGGCACCACCAGGAGUGGAGCCUGCGGCUUAAUUUGACUCAACACGGGAAACCUCACCAGGCCCGGACACUGGAAGGAUUG